CCUGUAUCUAAGUCUCGCCCUUUGGAAGGAAGUUCCUUACCAGUUUCUCAGAAAAAGCCAUUUCUAGCAUGAGAGUAUAGAGUUGAUUUCCCAGGUGAGAUUAUUUUUUAAAUUAUUAUCAUCAUCAUUAUUGUAAGAGGCACUGCAUGACAGAAACAUCAAUAGCAUUUGUUCAUAAUAGACUAACAGAUUCAACAUGGCCUAUUUCUUAUACACCUUGGGAUGAAGUCUGAAGCUAUGACAUUAUACAAUGGGUAGAAAUGAUACAAUCCUUUGCAUGGCCUCUUGGUCUUCUGUCUUGAUCCCAUUGAUAGACUUCAGAGGUGCAGGGGACUGUGAAGUGAUCUUCCAUGAAGGUUGUUUUCUCUAGGAAGCGUUUUGUUAAAGAACUGGAAAAGCAGAGAUUGUAUGGGUCUACUCUAAUGAAAACUUUGGAUUCUAGGGAAUGAGGUACUUCCUUGACGUUGAUACCAUUUCCUCUGAGUGGUUUCCAUUCAUUUAGGCAAGUUCUGACAUGCAGGUUGUUGCAAACAGCUAGUUUGGGAUAUUGGUACUGUUCCUGGGUUUUGGGCCUUAUACCAUGGGAGAGAGUUCAGAUUAGUAUUUUUUCAUUAAUAUUCUGCCUAUUGAGUUUGUAUACGUUUAUUUUCUGGUAGAGGCAGCUCCAAGAGUAGGCCUACCUAAGAGAUAUCCUCAUCUUAUUAAUUGUUAUAGCCUUAAGAAUGGAUGUCUUAGUAAGUCUGAGCUGCUGUAAUGAAAGGUCAUUGACUGGGUGGCUUAAAAACAGCAAAUUUAUUUCUUACAGCUCUGAAUGCUGGGAAUUCCAACCUCAAAACACCAGCAGAUUCAGUGUCUGGUGAGGGCCUGCUUCCUGAUUCAUAGAUGGCUUCCUUCUCACUGUGUCCUCACAUGGCAGAAGAGACAAGGCAGCUCUCUGGAGCCUCUUUUACAAGGGCAUGAAUCCCAAUUAUGAGGACUCUACUCUCAUGAAAUAGUCACCUCCCAAAGACCCCACCUUCUAAUACCAUCUCCCUGGGAAUUAGGAUUUUAACAUAUGAAUUUUGAGGGGACCAUAAACUUUCAGACCAUGGCAGUGGGUUUUAAAAGGGCAAGAAAGUAUCAUUUCAUCUCCAGAAUUUCUGUGUGGCUACCAUGGAGGCAUUUGGUAGGUGGAGGAUCAUAGAGAACUGAGAUUUGGGAACAGGAAAGGUUAUACAAGAAACUAUGCAGAAAAUGGCAGUUUGAAUCCUAAAAGUAUUUAGAGGUUUUAAAACUGCAAAACUCCAGCUCUUGAGAAUGCAGCCAGAUAGAAGAAAAAAGCACGUAUGUAUAUGUGUGUGUGGCUUAUCCUCCCUGAGUGCCUGCUGGCCUACUCAUGUGCCAUUCUCAGUGAUAAGUCCUUUGCAUGUGUCACACAACUAAUGAUGGAGAGUCGGGAUUCAGACCCCAGGAAUUUGACUUAAGAUCUCAUGUUCUUAACCACUUUCCCAUACUGGCUCCUUCAUGGCAAAAAGGCUCAUGACAAGGAAAAAAACCUAUCACAAAGUCUGUGUACCAAGAUGCAAGCAUUGUACUUCUGUGUGUAAAGAGACAGUAUCUGCACACCUUACUUAGAUCCUUUUCCCUCUUACUCUGAGACACAAUAUCAACAAAAUUGGUAAUCUUUAUAUCCCAUGUCUCAGUAUGUGAAGAGUAUUAACUAGGAGAAUUUCAAGUAGAGGCCAGCUGGUAACUACCAGCUACAUGAAAGGCUGAUGGAGAGGAGGGAUCAGAACUUGAACUCCCAAAAGGUAGUAGUCUGGGAUGAUGUGUUCUGGGUAUGAUCUGCUAUACCUCACAGUUGGUCCUGGGAUAUCAUCUUGUCACAGACAUCACCAAGCAUUGGUAUUUUUAAGAACGAGCUAGACUCAGUAAUAAAAGAUUCGAAGAUAUCAGUUAAGAAUGUAGGAAGCAGAAUGAUUUGUUUGAGAAACCUUUUUCAUCCAAGGUUAAAAUAAUGUAACUGAACACAGUAGUAAAAUUUAAAGGAUGAAGUUCCAUUUAUCUGGAUACCUGUACACAAUAAAUGCUUCAUGUCCUAAUCAACCCAAUCCUGAGUGCCUUUUCUGGAUCAUUUUCAGGAGAGGGCUCUAUUUUUUUUUUUUUUUUAACCUGGCUCCGGUACCUACAUCUUUCGUCAUCAGGUGCCUGUCAUUAAAGGGAAUUCACUUUAUUACUCACUGCUCAUGUCUUUUUAAAUUUUCAAUAGUCGGAGCUUCAUUAGAAAUGACAAUAUUUGGGCAGGUAGGGUUUUAUGGAAGAGUGGAAAGGAGACGUGAAUGAAGGAGGAAAGAAGAUAUCUCCUUCAAAUAGAAUGAGCCCAUUUCUGUCACUGAGAGGGCACUGCCAUUUGACAGCAUUGCUGAACUUGUCCCCACAUCUCAGGUUUCAUUAGAGAAACAGAUAACUUUACUUGCCAAAAAUAAUUUUUUUUUUAGAUUGGCUUUUAGAAAAGAUAAAAUAAGGCAUGAUUUUCUUGUUAAAGUUCAUAUUAGUCUAUUUAUUGUUUAUCUCCUUUUUAUAAAAUAAAUUACUUUUAAACACCCCUGCUAAUAUUUCAGGAUAUUAUUCACUUACGUAGAGGUAGUUGUGUUCCCAUUUUGCUUCUGUUCCAUUUCCUGGUGUUAUUCAUGUGUGAAGAGAAUCUUUUUGGCUGGGUUGGCCUGCCUCAAAGCUGCUCCAAACUUAUAAUUCACCAAAAGUGACAUCAUCCCAGCCACCACCAAAGAAUUAUGAUUGGAGUCGAGGCAUUGCCCAUGGAACACAUAACUCUGCAGUGGUUUCCCCUACAAAAUGUCAGCCACUCUUACGAUGGAAUGUGCCCUUGCCUGCUGUGGGCACCGCUCAAAUCUAACCCAUCAUUUUUCUUUUCAUUUUGAUUCACUUUUCCUUUCAGAGAUUCAAACAAAAAGAAAAAUGGGAACUGAAAAAAUUUGGGGUUUUUGAGGGGUGAGGGAGAGACCUUAUGGUAGAAAAUAAAGUGUUUUUUUUGAUAUCUGAAAUUUUAUAUGCUCAAUUUAAAUGUUUUAUUGCGUUUGUUUUUUCCAACCUGUGGAAACCCCUUAAAUUCUUACUGAAUGCAUAGAUCUUUUAUUUGCAUGAAUGUCCUGUAUGCCGGAAGACUAAGUGGGAGCACUGAAUGCUUUGAAGUUCUGUGCCUGUGAGACUUGGGUAUUUUAAUACAUUGUUACCCUAUUGCAUCAAAUCACGCCUAGGGAUGCAUUCAAUAAAGACUGCCCCCUCCCCGCUUAGCUGCGCUGGGACUCCCUUCUGGAGGGCCAGAGUUUCUACUUUGUUUCUACUUUGACUCCUAAAAUGAGGACUGAAGGGAAAGCAGAUGGCAUUUUGUACCUCUGACAAUGAAGCCUAAAUUGUUUACGUUGGAGAGGGAGUGGGAGAUAAGCUAAAGAAUGUGAUUUGUCUUCCAUUUGAAGAUACCAGGGAAAAGUCUUGUCAAGUAGCAGGCCACCGGUGUCUAGUGUAGAGGAGACGAUUUCUGUCGAUAGAGAGCAAAGCCAGCCAGGCAAACGAACCCGUAAGCCGCCUGAGGGACAGACAGGCAUAAAACCUAAUGAAUGGGUAGGUAGACUUUGGGCAAGGCUAAUUGCAGCAAGCUGUGUUCAGUUCCCCGGCCUCUGUUAAGUAGUCAUUUUUAUACAAUCUGUCGGAGGGAAGAGGAAAUAGACCCACACGGUAAAUGAACUUGUGGUGUUUAGCUAGGAAGUGGAGUUUGCUCUAAGUAGCUCUGGUAGCAGACUCCAGGGAGCACAUGGCAGGCGGACUCAUCUGAGUAUCUGUGCUGAGGAGUUGUGUUAAACUGUUGAAACACUUAGAAAUUGCUAUAGAAAAAGAGUACUCCCAAAGUUGCCAGCUAAUAUGGUACCGAAUUUCCUGAAAGACCUUUCUUUUGCCAUGUGGUUUUUCUAUAAAGCUGAGUCAAUUAGGCUUCUUUAUCUCCCUGUCCUUGGCAAUAAAACGACAAAAGCCGAGGGUUGAACAGGUAGACACUGUUAUCUCACUGAAUCUUCACCGCUGCCCUAUGAGGUGGCUAUUGUUACUCUCCCCAUUCUAUAGAUGAGGACACUGAGCCACAGAUUGGUUGAGUAACUUGCUCAGGCUCACACAACUAGCAGGUGAUAACAGCUGAGGUGAAAGAACAUUUUUUCUGGGAAGAUACAGGG
This 4220-nucleotide microRNA precursor is filed under the name Homo sapiens (human). RNAcentral describes it as "long non-coding RNA NONHSAT256442". The record is from RNAcentral. Lineage: Eukaryota; Metazoa; Chordata; Mammalia; Primates; Hominidae.